GCGCGCGCAGGCGGUUCCUUAAGUCUGAUGUGAAAGCCCCCGGCUCAACCGGGGAGGGUCAUUGGAAACUGGGGAACUUGAGUGCAGAAGAGAAGAGUGGAAUUCCACGUGUAGCGGUGAAAUGCGUAGUGAUGUGGAGGAACACCAGUGGCGAAGGCGACUCUUUGGUCUGUAACUGACGCUGAGGCGCGAAAGCGUGGGGAGCAAACAGGAUUAGGUACCCUGGUAGUCCACGCCGUAAACGAUGAGUGCUAAGUGUUAGAGGGUUUCCGCCCUUUAGCGCUGCAGCAAACGCAUUAAGCACUCCGCCUGGGGAGUACGGCCGCAAGGCUGAAACUCAAAGGAAUUGACGGGGGCCCGCACAAGCGGUGGAGCAUGUGGUUUAAUUCGAAGCAACGCGAAGAACCUUACCAGGUCUUGACAUCUCCUGACAACCCUAGAGAUAGGGCGUUCCCCUUCGGGGGACAGGAUGACAGGUGGUGCAUGGUUGUCGUCAGCUCGUGUCGUGAGAUGUUGGGUUAAGUCCCGCAACGAGCGCAACCCUUGAUCUUAGUUGCCAGCAUUCAGUUGGGCACUCUAAGGUGACUGCCGGUGACAAACCGGAGGAAGGUGGGGAUGACGUCAAAUCAUCAUGCCCCUUAUGACCUGGGCUACACACGUGCUACAAUGGAUGGUACAAAGGGCUGCGAGACCGCGAGGUUAAGCGAAUCCCAUAAAACCAUUCUCAGUUCGGAUUGCAGGCUGCAACUCGCCUGCAUGAAGCCGGAAUCGCUAGUAAUCGCGGAU
This 786-nucleotide ribosomal RNA is filed under the name uncultured Bacillus sp. Its description in RNAcentral is "bacterial SSU rRNA". It matches the Rfam family "Bacterial small subunit ribosomal RNA", at positions 565 to 1349 of the family's 1533-position model. Lineage: Bacteria; Bacillati; Bacillota; Bacilli; Caryophanales; Bacillaceae. The record is from RNAcentral.